GGGUCGUUAGCUCAGUCGGUAGAGCAGUUGACUUUUAAUCAAUUGGUCGCAGGUUCGAAUCCUGCACGACCUACCA
RNAcentral lists this transfer RNA (76 nucleotides) under Providencia stuartii. RNAcentral's name for it is "tRNA-Lys". It matches the Rfam family "tRNA". Rfam says of the family: Transfer RNA (tRNA) molecules are approximately 80 nucleotides in length. Their secondary structure includes four short double-helical elements and three loops (D, anti-codon, and T loops). The record is from RNAcentral. Lineage: Bacteria; Pseudomonadati; Pseudomonadota; Gammaproteobacteria; Enterobacterales; Morganellaceae. RNAcentral also lists the same sequence under 2 other names.